This is a long non-coding RNA of Oncorhynchus masou masou (cherry salmon), 373 nucleotides long. RefSeq lists it as uncharacterized. Lineage: Eukaryota; Metazoa; Chordata; Actinopteri; Salmoniformes; Salmonidae. The transcript is spliced from 2 exons. The record is from RefSeq and is a predicted model, not a curated record.
AGAGAGAGAGAGAGAGAGAGAGAGAGAGAGAGAGAGAGAGAGAGAGAGAGAGAGAGAGAGAGAGAGAGAGAGAGAGAGAGAGAGAGAGAGAGAGAGAAUAUCAAGGCUUAAUUUGUUCUCUCUGUUUGUGUAGGUCGAUUUUCAAAUGGAUCACGUGAACCUUGGAAUUGAGAGCUUUGAAAUGUGCCGAGAUCUUAUGGGCCCGUCACAUCAUGUCAGAUGGAAGAAAUUCAUUUGAUCUGCCAGCGCAAUGACUCACACACGCACAUGACUCAUAUCUCCAGAUACCUCAGAAGGCUCCCGUGUAAACAACACCUCGGUCUCAAUUGGACACCGCCCUGCCUAAUGAAAGAAUAAAUCAUGUAAAAUACUA